Molecule: long non-coding RNA, 2352 nt
Filed under: Physcomitrium patens
Lineage: Eukaryota; Viridiplantae; Streptophyta; Bryopsida; Funariales; Funariaceae
Description: long non-coding RNA (PPAT_LNC011915)
Source: RNAcentral
GUGAUUUAAAUUUGUAUUGGCUUUGUAAGAGCUUUGCAAAAUCAGGGUUUGUUUUGGGUGACUCUAGAUUUAUGAAAUAAAAAAGGAAAUGCCUUUUGGAGAAUUUUGUGAGUUUAGCAAUAGAUAUAUAGGUGAAAUUUUGAAGGUUUGUGGAUUUAUAUUUUUUCGAUAUAUGUUGUAAGUUUGAGCUUGAUUAAAGAAUUGGAUUGAGGAUUAUUGAGGUUUAAAUGGGUCAGGAUCUCAAAAAGUAGAGUUUUAGGUUGAGUGAGGAUUUCUAAGAUUUCUUGUAAUCAAUUAGUUGGAUUGGAAUGAAAAUUAUGUAUAUGGAUAGUAGACUUAUUUUCCUAUGUAUAUGAGAAAUUUGAGAUCAAUUGAAUAAUUUGAUAUUAGGAGAUAUUGGCACUAGAAAUUCAACAUUUAGAUUAGAGACGGCCAACAUUUGAGAAAAUAUUAGGAUCGAUCUUAUUUUUGGUGUGUUUGAUCUUCUUUAAAUUUUUUUUGCUUUUUGUCAACUUAAUUGUCAAGAGGUGAGAAAAUUUUGAGUUAAAAUAAAUGGUUCAUUCAUUAAUUAUUGAAGUUUAAAUCUGCUUUAGGAAUUACUUGAGAUUAUUUAGGAUUUGGUUAGGGUAUGUUUAGGGAUCGAUUAGGGUUUGGUUAAAGUUUGUUUAGAUUUUAUUUUGGAUUUGAUUGGGAUAUGUUUAGAGAUUCAUUAGGAUUUGAUUAAAAUUUUUUUAGGUUUUAUUUAGGAUUUGGUUAAGAUUUGAUAAGGAUUUAUUUAGGAUUUGAUUAAAAUUUAUUUAAGAUUUGAUUAGAGUUUGGUCAAGAUUUUUUUAGGAUUUGAUUAGGAUUUACUUAGGAUUUGGUUAGAAUUUGAUUAAGAUUUGAUUAGAGUUUUGUCAGGAUUUGGUUAGAAUUUGGUUAAUAUUUGAUUAGAGUUUUGUCAGGAUUUGUUUAGGAUUUGAUUAGGAUUUAUUUAGGAUUUGGUUAGAAUUUGGUUAAGAUUUUUUUAGGAUUUUUUUAGGAUUUGUUUAAGAUUUUAUUAGAAUUUGUUUAGAAUUUAUUUAAGGUUUUGUUAGAGUUUGUUUAGGAUUUGGUUAGGAUUUGGUUAGGAUUUGUUUAGUAUUUGAUUAGGAUUUAUUUAGGAUUUGGUUAGGUUUUAUUUAAGAUUUGAUUAGAAUUUGUUUAGAAUUUGGUUAGGAUUUAUUUAGGAUUUGUUUAAGAUUUUUUUAAGAUUUGAAUAGAGUUUCUUCAAGAUUUGAUUAGGAUUUGAUUAAGUUUUGUUUAGAAUUUGAUUAGAAUUUGGUUAAGAUUUGUUUGUAUUUGACUAGGAUUUAUUUAGGAUUUGGUUAGGGUUUGACUAAGAUUUGACUAGAAUUUGAUUAAAUUUUUACUAGGAUUUAAUUAAAGUUUCUAUUUCAAUAUUUUAUUAUGGUUUAUAUUUUAGUAUAUUUUAGAAUUUCUAUGUUAUUUUUUAUGAUUCUUUAAACGGUCUCUAAGAAUAUUUUGUAUUUUUUAUAUAAUUCAUUUGAAAUUUUGUUUGAAUUUGAUCGAUGUUUAAUUAUAUUUGGUAAACUUUAAUUAUAAUUUGUUUAAAAAUAUAUUAGAAUUAUUAGGACUUGUUAUUGCAAUUUUCUUUUUAUCUUCCACAGCUAAGAAUGUAGUGUCAUAAUAUGUGAAGUCUUGCUUGAGAAUGCUCCGGGCACUUGGCUAUGGAAGGUAGAAUGGAAAUUGCAACAACGAAAUGCUAAUUCUAAUAAAACACUAAUAAUGCUAAACAAACUUUAAUCAAAUUUAGAGAAACCUCAAAAGAAUUCUAAAGAAACAAUAAGAAAUCUUAAAGAAAUAUUAGAAUGAUUACAAACAUAUCUCAAAUACAUCUCAAUUCAAUCUUAAUUUAAUCCUAAUUGAAAUCCUAUUGGACUUCAUUCAAACUUUAGGCCAAAAACUAAUUAAAUCUUAAAUCCUAAACAAAUUCAAAUAAAAUCCUAAAUCCUAAAUCAAAUCUUGACCAAACUCUAACCAAAUCUUAAACCUUAAAUCAAAUCCCAACCAAAUUCUAAAUCCUAAAUCAAAUCCUAAGAAAUCCUAAAUCAAAUCUUAAAUCCUAAAUCAAACCCUAAUCAAACCUUAAAUCCUAAAUCAAAUCUUAACCAAUCCUAAACUAAAUCCUAAAUCCUAAAUCAAAUCCUAAUCCUAAAUCAAAUCCUAAGCAAAUCCUAAUUCUAAAUCAAAUCCUAACCAAAUCCUAAUCCUAAAUCAAAUCCUAACCAAAUCCUAAUCCUAAAUCAAAUCCUAACCAAAUCCUAAUCCUAAAUCAAAUCCUAACCAAAUCCUAAAUCCUAAAUCAAACCC